ACCCUUCGGGGUUGAGUGGCGGACGGGUGAGUAACGCGUGAGAAUCUGCCUUCAGGUUCGGGACAACCACUGGAAACGGUGGCUAAUACCGGAUGUGCCGCAACGUGAAAGAUUUAUCGCCUGAAGAUGAGCUCGCGUCUGAUUAGCUAGUUGGUGAGGUAAAGGCUCACCAAGGCGACGAUCAGUAGCUGGUCUGAGAGGAUGACCAGCCACACUGGGACUGAGACACGGCCCAGACUCCUACGGGAGGCAGCAGUGGGGAAUUUUCCGCAAUGGGCGAAAGCCUGACGGAGCAAGACCGUGUGAGGGAGGAAGGCCCUUGGGUUGUAAACCUCUUUUGUCAGGGAAGAACACAAUGACGGUACCUGACGAAUCAGCCUCGGCUAACUCCGUGCCAGCAGCCGCGGUAAUACGGAGGAGGCAAGCGUUAUCCGGAAUUAUUGGGCGUAAAGCGUCCGCAGGUGGCUAUUCAAGUCUGCUGUCAAAGACCGGGGCUUAACCCUGGAAAGGCGGUGGAAACUGAAUGGCUAGAGAGAGGUAGGGGUAGAGGGAAUUCCCAGUGUAGCGGUGA
Molecule: ribosomal RNA, 571 nt
Filed under: uncultured cyanobacterium
Lineage: Bacteria; Bacillati; Cyanobacteriota
Description: bacterial SSU rRNA
Rfam family: Bacterial small subunit ribosomal RNA
Source: RNAcentral